RNAcentral lists this ribosomal RNA (324 nucleotides) under uncultured eukaryote. Its description in RNAcentral is "partial 18S ribosomal RNA". It matches the Rfam family "Eukaryotic small subunit ribosomal RNA", at positions 1470 to 1796 of the family's 1831-position model. The record is from RNAcentral.
CCCUUAGAUGUUCUGGGCUGCACGCGCGCUACACUGAUGCGAUCAACAAGUUUUUCCUAUGUCGAUAGACACGGGUAAUCUUUUGAACUAGCAUCGUGAUGGGGAUAGAUUAUUGUAAUUAUUAAUCUUCAACGAGGAAUUCCUAGUAGGUGCAAAUCAUCAGUUUGCAUCGAUUACGUCCCUGCCCUUUGUACACACCGCCCGUCGCUGCUACCGAUUGGUUGAUCUGGUGAAUUAUUCGGACUGCCGGCUGAAGGGGUUUCCUCAUCUGCCAGCGGAAAGUCUUGUUAACCCUAUCAACUAGAGGAAGCAGAAGUCGUAACA